AUGAAAACUAAAGAUUACUACCUGGCUGGCAGAAAAGUGAAUUUACAAUCUGGAGAUCUUGCUAGACUGUGGGUCGAUCCAGUUGGCAAUGAACCUCCCCUCCAGUUGCAGUUUCCUAUGAUUUAUGAUAUUUGCAAUGAUCAGGAUAUCACGGUUGCUAAGUUCAGGGAAGGGGAGGAGGAAAAAAACUUUUUUAGAAGGCAACUCCACCCUCCCAUGCUUGAGCAAUGGAAUAAUAUCAAAUCUAUAGUGGGGACUUGGCCGAUGACUGGCGAAGCCGACCAAGUG
RNAcentral lists this ribosomal RNA (288 nucleotides) under Triticum aestivum (bread wheat). RNAcentral's name for it is "partial small subunit ribosomal RNA". The record is from RNAcentral. Lineage: Eukaryota; Viridiplantae; Streptophyta; Magnoliopsida; Poales; Poaceae.